RNAcentral lists this ribosomal RNA (498 nucleotides) under uncultured bacterium. RNAcentral's name for it is "partial 16S ribosomal RNA". It matches the Rfam family "Bacterial small subunit ribosomal RNA", at positions 30 to 523 of the family's 1533-position model. The record is from RNAcentral.
AUUGAACGCUGGCGGCAUGCCUUACACAUGCAAGUCGAACGGUAACAGGUCUUCGGAUGCUGACGAGUGGCGAACGGGUGAGUAAUACAUCGGAACGUGCCUAGUAGUGGGGGAUAACUACUCGAAAGAGUGGCUAAUACCGCAUGAGAUCUACGGAUGAAAGCAGGGGAUCGCAAGACCUUGUGCUACUAGAGCGGCCGAUGGCAGAUUAGGUAGUUGGUGGGAUAAAAGCUUACCAAGCCGACGAUGUGUAUCUGGUCUGAGAGGACGAUCAGCCACACUGGGACUGAGACACGGCCCAGACUCCUACGGGAGGCAGCAGUGGGGAAUUUUGGACAAUGGGCGAAAGCCUGAUCCAGCAAUGCCGCGUGCAGGAUGAAGGCCUUCGGGUUGUAAACUGCUUUUGUACGGAACGAAAAGCCCCGGGUUAAUACCCUGGGGUCAUGACGGUACCGUAAGAAUAAGCACCGGCUAACUACGUGCCAGCAGCCGCCGCCG